GUCGAUGGAAAGAAAACUUCCACUCUUUCUCUGCCCAGCUGGACAGUUUCCUCUCAUCACCGAGCAACUGACCGUUUGCAAAGGACAUUAGACAACCGCUGUACUGCCAAACCUCCCCCUUCAGCUCCUUGACAAGUCAACUCAUGCCAGUCACAUUCCAGCAACGGGCGAAUUGUUGGAUCAUCAAAUGAUUCCGGGAAUUUAUUUUUCAGUCCCUUUAUGUUCUAACUUCCCCCAAGCUGUAUCAGACCCGAGGCUGUUUUGGUGGACUCCUCCAGGGCCAGAAACCUGUCCAGCUUCUGUGCAAAAUCAGGGGGCAGGUUGUGAGGGGAUCUGUAUGUCUUCAUGGUGGUACUCAGCUAGACAUUCAAGACAUUCAAGGCCACCUUUCAGAUGAAAAGCCAGGUAAUUAUGAAUGUGUCUCAAGCUGAUGUGAACCUCAUCUAAAACUCGCUCCCACACCCACCACUUGCUCUUGUGAGCAUCAACGGGGGUCCAGUUGUGAUACUGUUGAUGAAAGUGUAGCCUGACAGCUUCAACUUCCUGCCUGAAGCAAGAGUUGCGAAUGUUUUGGACCUGGGGGCUGUCAUGCAUCGGGCCUCUCCGUAGCACUUCUGCCGUGUCCAGUUGCAGCUCAAUCACUAGCAUAGGAAUAAUGCUGCAGGAUUCCAGCAAUUCAGCCUGAUGCUUGGUCACAGGGAAGCCGUCCAACACAAAACUGAGGAUCAU
Long non-coding RNA from Onychostoma macrolepis, 729 nucleotides. RefSeq lists it as uncharacterized. Lineage: Eukaryota; Metazoa; Chordata; Actinopteri; Cypriniformes; Cyprinidae. The record is from RefSeq and is a predicted model, not a curated record. The transcript is spliced from 6 exons.